ACCAUCGAUUCCGGCCGCCGCCGA
This 24-nucleotide non-coding RNA is filed under the name Arabidopsis thaliana (thale cress). Lineage: Eukaryota; Viridiplantae; Streptophyta; Magnoliopsida; Brassicales; Brassicaceae. The record is from RNAcentral.